RNAcentral lists this ribosomal RNA (492 nucleotides) under uncultured bacterium. RNAcentral describes it as "partial 16S ribosomal RNA". It matches the Rfam family "Bacterial small subunit ribosomal RNA", at positions 29 to 507 of the family's 1533-position model. The record is from RNAcentral.
AGUGAACGCUGGCGGUAGGCCUAACACAUGCAAGUCGAACGGCAGCACAGUAAGAGCUUGCUCUUACGGGUGGCGAGUGGCGGACGGGUGAGGAAUACAUCGGAAUCUACUUUUUCGUGGGGGAUAACGUAGGGAAACUUAUGCUAAUACCGCAUACGACCUACGGGUGAAAGCAGGGGAUCUUCGGACCUUGCGCGAUUGAAUGAGCCGAUGUCGGAUUAGCUAGUUGGCGGGGUAAAGGCCCACCAAGGCGACGAUCCGUAGCUGGUCUGAGAGGAUGAUCAGCCACACUGGAACUGAGACACGGUCCAGACCCCUACGGGAGGCAGCAGUGGGGAAUAUUGGACAAAGGGCGCAAGCCUGAUCCAGCCAUACCGCGUGGGUGAAGAAGGCCUUCGGGUUGUAAAGCCCUUUUGUUGGGAAAGAAAAGCAGCAGGUUAAUACCCCGCUGUUCUGACGGUACCCAAAGAAUAAGCACCGGCUAACUUCGUG